ACGAAGGGGGCUAGCGUUGCUCGGAAUGACUGGGCGUAAAGGGCGCGUAGGCGGCGCACUUAGUCGGGCGUGAAAGUCCUGGGCUCAACCUGGGGACGGCGCUCGAUACGGGUGUGCUUGAGUGGGGAAGAGGGUCGUGGAAUUCCCAGUGUAGAGGUGAAAUUCGUAGAUAUUGGGAAGAACACCGGUGGCGAAGGCGGCGACCUGGUCCUUGACUGACGCUGAGGCGCGAAAGCGUGGGGAGCAAACAG
Molecule: ribosomal RNA, 251 nt
Filed under: uncultured prokaryote
Description: partial 16S rRNA
Rfam family: Bacterial small subunit ribosomal RNA
Source: RNAcentral